This is a long non-coding RNA of Nomascus leucogenys (northern white-cheeked gibbon), 697 nucleotides long. RefSeq lists it as uncharacterized. The transcript is spliced from 3 exons. The record is from RefSeq and is a predicted model, not a curated record. NCBI's taxonomy places the organism in Eukaryota, Metazoa, Chordata, Mammalia, Primates, Hylobatidae.
AGAAGGAAGAGAAGGGAUAUCAUGGCUGUGGCAAGCCAGGGUCUCCCAUUCACCCAGAGGCAGGAGCCUUGAUGAAGAGCAGCUCCGAACUCCAGCCCUCUCCACGCACACAGUUAGAACCACCAAGCUGGCCUGAGUAGGAAGAGACCUCAGAACCAGCAAGCUCCCCUGCUUCAUGGAGAAGAGAAUGCGCAGGGCUACAACUUGCUGGACUUGUUAAAUGAAAAGGCUGUGCUCCACAGAGGCAUCUGCAGGUCAGAAACUGAAUAAACUACAGAGGAAUGACCUGGACCAAGAGCCAAAGGCAUUUAAUUAUUGAAAGACUGUGGGGAGUGCACACCUAUUCUUUUAAGUGUAGAAGAGAAUUAUCCCUCACUGGCUUUCUGUUUUCUGAGUACUGGACCUGUCAACAAAGCAAGUCAGGAAAGGAGCUCAUGAUCUGCUUCCAGCAGCAGUACCUCCAGAAGAUGUGUGGCUAGCUCUCCAUCACCACUCGCGGCCUCUGUGCCUGCGUCUGUAUCUGUGUUCUUGGUGCCCACAUAUCCUCCUCCCUGCUCCCUCACGCAAGUCCUUGGUUUAGCGCACAGGCACACAUCUUCACACAUCAUUUGAAUAAACUUAAUCUGGACAAGGCAUCUGUGUCCUCCACUGCUGUAGAGUCAUCCAUUCUAUUUCACCAAAACAGAAUGGGGGGAGU